GAUGAACGCUGGCGGCACGCUUAACACAUGCAAGUCGAACGAAGUCCAUGGAGCUUGCUCCGGAAGACUUAGUGGCGAACGGGUGCGUAACACGUGAGAAACCUGCCCCGGACUUUGGGAUAACAGUUGGAAACGACUGCUAAUACCGAAUGUCAUCAUUUCCUCGCAUGGGGGUUUGAUGAAAGGUCCGCCGGUCCGGGAGGGUCUCGCGGUCUAUCAGCUUGUUGGAGAGGUAAUGGCUCACCAAGGCUUCGACGGAUAGCUGGUCUGAGAGGAUGAUCAGCCACACUGGAACUGAGACACGGUCCAG
RNAcentral lists this ribosomal RNA (310 nucleotides) under uncultured bacterium. RNAcentral's name for it is "bacterial SSU rRNA". It matches the Rfam family "Bacterial small subunit ribosomal RNA", at positions 28 to 334 of the family's 1533-position model. The record is from RNAcentral.